UACGGAGGGAGCUAGCGUUGUUCGGAAUUACUGGGCGUAAAGCGCGUGUAGGCGGCUUGAUAAGUCCGCUCUGAAAGCCCGGGGCUCAACCCCGGGAGGCGGGUGGAUACUGUCAAGCUCGAGUCCGGAAGAGGCGAGUGGAAUUCCUGGUGUAGCGGUGAAAUGCGCAGAUAUCAGGAGGAACACCGGUGGCGAAGGCGGGUCUCUGGGCCGAAAUUGACGCUGAGGAGCGAAAGCGUGGGGAGCAAACAGG
Molecule: ribosomal RNA, 253 nt
Filed under: uncultured bacterium
Lineage: Bacteria
Description: partial 16S ribosomal RNA
Rfam family: Bacterial small subunit ribosomal RNA
Source: RNAcentral